GUGCUGGCUUAGUCGAGUGGGUACUUCGCAAUUCUGCAACCUGUUCAAACAUUGGGACAUUGAGCCGGUCGCGGGUUCGACUCCAGGGUUCGAACUCGCAACUACCCUUAUACCCACUGACGCCAUCCAGCACUUUU
RNAcentral lists this vault RNA (137 nucleotides) under Branchiostoma floridae (Florida lancelet). It matches the Rfam family "Vault RNA". Rfam says of the family: This family of RNAs are found as part of the enigmatic vault ribonucleoprotein complex. The complex consists of a major vault protein (MVP), two minor vault proteins (VPARP and TEP1), and several small untranslated RNA molecules. Lineage: Eukaryota; Metazoa; Chordata; Leptocardii; Amphioxiformes; Branchiostomatidae. The record is from Rfam by way of RNAcentral.